Molecule: long non-coding RNA, 1012 nt
Organism: Oreochromis niloticus (Nile tilapia)
Lineage: Eukaryota; Metazoa; Chordata; Actinopteri; Cichliformes; Cichlidae
Exons: 4
Source: RefSeq, a predicted model, not a curated record
AGUGUCAUGGAUUAUUGGCACAGCUGUGUGAUAAAAUCCUACAUUUGUAGUUUAGCAUCAUGUCAGGUACAACCAGUCUGCUAGCUGUUAGGUAUUUCUGCCUGAAGUUGACCUCCAGCAUGCUCUCACGCAGCAACCAGAGCUCCUCCUGCAAGCACCUCAAAUGAGACCUCACUCACACCCACUCCACCCAGCAGCUCCUCUGACUCUCAGGCCUCACCUACAGACACCACAGUGACAGCUCCCACUGCACGUUGGACGUUUCUUUAUUACACAGGACUGUGAUGACAUUGAUGUGAAUAUAAACAAAGAACACGGCGCUGCUGAGUUACAAGUACCUGUAAGGUGCUCUGAGCUGUUGUACAUUCAUGCUACAUAAUCACAAACUAAUGAUUUUGUUCUUUUCUGAUCUCAUUUAAAUGCAUCGUUUCAGCCAACAAGACGACUCCUGAGCCUCCAAAGUGUUCCUACACUGUCACACCCAUCGAGUCUGGACUGCAGAUUAACCUGAUGAACUUCACCCCUGGUGACUACAACAUUAUUGUUAAAGGAGGUCGACGAGUGAUUAACAACACGGUCAUCUUUAAUCACUCUGGUCAACACAACAUCCAACACCUGAAGCCCUGCACUGAAUAUGAGCAUCACGUUUUAUACAAUUAUGGCAAUAAAACACUCCAGUGUACCUGCAAUGGAAAUAAAACUAAAACAAAAGAAAUGAGUGAGAUGGACAUUACAGGGCAAAGCAGCAUAAAUGGAUGUGUUUGUUACCAGAGUAACUGGGACAUCAGCUCUUCUAUAUCAGCACCAAAUGUAACUUCAGCUGAUCAGUGCAGCAGUGACAGUAAAAGCUUCUGUGUCAAACACGGAGACAUUUGCUCUGAUUUUGAAACAACCUUUACUUCAGGAAACUGUCCUUCAUUUAGCAUCACCACAAACAUCAUUGUUGAUUUAUAUAAUUCAAGUGAAAUACAGCAAAGUCAUUCCACUGGACUUCCUGCAGUAAUAGGGCGAA